AGAGGGAUAUUCUUGUCUUAAAGGAAAGGGAACUCAGUGUUAAAAGUGAUGUCAUUGAUUUCCUUCGAAGAUCUGCUGCAAUUGAGAUUCAUUGGUCAGGCUGCUGAGAUACAGAAAUUGCAAACCAUGGUAUAUUGAGAUGAUUUCUUUGGAGCAAUUCUUGACAACAUUUGUAGUUGAGGCCUUUAGAAUGGAAGAAUGUAUUUCACUAAUUUUUGUAUACAUUUCUUGUUUUGUAUUUAGUGAUAAAGGAAUCUGAAUUGGGCAUAAAUUGUGUUGUAAUAUGAUUUCUUAAGCCUAGACUAGUAGACUAAAUAUUGUAAUUACAUUUGAGUAAUUAAUAAAAAUCUAUUAUGUUA
Molecule: long non-coding RNA, 359 nt
Organism: Humulus lupulus (European hop)
Lineage: Eukaryota; Viridiplantae; Streptophyta; Magnoliopsida; Rosales; Cannabaceae
Exons: 2
Source: RefSeq, a predicted model, not a curated record